RNAcentral lists this ribosomal RNA (440 nucleotides) under uncultured bacterium. RNAcentral describes it as "partial 16S ribosomal RNA". It matches the Rfam family "Bacterial small subunit ribosomal RNA", at positions 338 to 795 of the family's 1533-position model. The record is from RNAcentral.
CCUACGGGUGGCAGCAGUGGGGAAUAUUGCACAAUGGGGGGAACCCUGAUGCAGCAAUGCCGCGUGGGUGAAGAAGCACCCAGGUGCGUAAAGCCCUGUCAGCAGGGAAGAAAAUGACAGUACCUGGACAAGAAGCCCCGGCUAACUACGUGCCAGCAGCCGCGGUAAUACGUAGGGGGCAGGCGUUAUCCGGAUUUACUGGGUGUAAAGGGAGCGCAGGCGGGAUGGCAAGUCAGAUGUGAAAACCCGGGGCCCAACCCCGGGAGUGCAUUUGAAACUGACAUGCUGGAGUGGCGGAGAGGUAUGCGGAAUUAGUAGUGUAGCGGUGAAAUGCGUAGAUAUUAGGAAGAACACCGGUGGCGGAGGCAGCUUACUGGACGGUAACUGACGCUGAGGCUCGAAAGCGUGGGGAUCGAACAGGAGUAGAUACCCGAGUAGUC